UGGGGAAUUUUGGACAAUGGGCGCAAGCCUGAUCCAGCCAUGCCGCGUGCGGGAAGAAGGCCUUCGGGUUGUAAACCGCUUUUGUCAGGGAAGAAAUCUUCUGAGUUAAUACCUCGGGAGGAUGACGGUACCUGAAGAAUAAGCACCGGCUAACUACGUGCCAGCAGCCGCGGUAAUACGUAGGGUGCAAGCGUUAAUCGGAAUUACUGGGCGUAAAGCGUGCGCAGGCGGUUUUGUAAGACAGAGGUGAAAUCCCCGGGCUCAACCUGGGAACUGCCUUUGUGACUGCAAGGCUUGAGUGCGGCAGAGGGGGGAUGGAAUUCCGCGUGUAGCAGUGAAAUGCGUAGAUAUGCGGAGGAAACACCGAUGGCGAAAGGCAAUCCCCUGGGCCUGCACUGACGCUCAUGCACGAAAGCGUGGGGAGCAAAACAGGAUUAGAUACCCUGGUAGUCCACGCCCUAAACGAUGUCAACUGGUUGUUGGGAAGGUUCCUUCUCAGUAACGUAGCUAACGCGUGAAGUUGACCGCCUGGGGAGUACGGCCGCAAGGUU
RNAcentral lists this ribosomal RNA (551 nucleotides) under uncultured bacterium. RNAcentral's name for it is "partial 16S ribosomal RNA". It matches the Rfam family "Bacterial small subunit ribosomal RNA", at positions 355 to 895 of the family's 1533-position model. The record is from RNAcentral.